RNAcentral lists this ribosomal RNA (650 nucleotides) under uncultured bacterium. RNAcentral describes it as "bacterial SSU rRNA". It matches the Rfam family "Bacterial small subunit ribosomal RNA", at positions 251 to 892 of the family's 1533-position model. The record is from RNAcentral.
GGUGAGGUAACGGCUCACCAAGGCAGCGAUGCGUAGCUGGUCUGAGAGGACGAUCAGCCACACUGGGACUGAGACACGGCCCAGACUCCUACGGGAGGCAGCAGUGGGGAAUCUUGCACAAUGCGCGAAAGCGUGAUGCAGCAACGCCGCGUGCGGGAAGACGGCCUUCGGGUUGUAAACCGCUUUCAGUUGGGACGAAGGUCGAGUGGUUAAUAGCCAUUUCGGCUGACGGUACCUUCACAAGAAGCCCCGGCUAACUACGUGCCAGCAGCCGCGGUAAUACGUAGGGGGCAAGCGUUGUCCGGAAUCAUUGGGCGUAAAGAGCGUGUAGGCGGCCUGAUAGGUCGGUUGUGAAAGUCAAGGGCUCAACCCUUGAAUGCCGACCGAUACUGUCAGGCUAGAGUCCGGAAGAGGCGAGUGGAAUUCCUGGUGUAGCGGUGAAAUGCGCAGAUAUCAGGAGGAACACCUAUGGCGAAGGCAGCUCGCUGGGACGGUACUGACGCUGAGACGCGAAAGCGUGGGGAGCGAACAGGAUUAGAUACCCUGGUAGUCCACGCUGUAAACGAUGGGCACUAGGUGUGGGGGGUGUCGACUCCCUCCGUGCCGAAGCUAACGCAUUAAGUGCCCCGCCUGGGGAGUACGGCCGCAAG